AGCGAUCGCUGGCGGCAGGCUUAACACAUGCAAGUCGAACGGUCCUUCGGCAUAGUGGCGGACGGGUGAGUCACACGUGGGAAUGUGCCUUUCGGUACGGAACAACCCAGGGAUAUUUGCGCUAAUAACGUAUGUGCUCUUCGGGGGAAAGAUUUAUCUCCUUUAGAGCAGCCCGCGUCUGAUUAGCUAGUUGGUAGGGUAGAGGCCUUCCAAGGGGACGAUCAGUAGCUGGUCUGAGAGGAUGAUCAGCCACAUUGGGACUGAGACACGGCCCAAACUCCUACGGGAGGCAGCAGUGGGGAAUCUUGCGCAAUGGGCGAAAGCCUGACGCAGCCAUGCCGCGUGAAUGAUGAAGGUCUUAGGAUUGUAAAAUUCUUUCACCGGGGACGAUAAUGACGGUACCCGGAGAAGAAGCCCCGGCUAACUUCGUGCCAGCCGCCGCGGUAA
Molecule: ribosomal RNA, 447 nt
Filed under: uncultured bacterium
Lineage: Bacteria
Description: partial 16S ribosomal RNA
Rfam family: Bacterial small subunit ribosomal RNA
Source: RNAcentral